UACGUAGGGUGCAAGCGUUAAUCGGAAUUACUGGGCGUAAAGCGUGCGCAGGCGGCUUUGCAAGACAGAUGUGAAAUCCCCGGGCUUAACCUGGGAACUGCAUUUGAAACUAUGGAGCUAGAGUGUGUCAGAGGGGGGUAGAAUUCCACGUGUAGCAGUGAAAUGCGUAGAGAUGUGGAGGAAUACCGAUGGCGAAGGCAGCCCCCUGGGAUGACACUGACGCUCAUGCACGAAAGCGUGGGGAGCAAACAGG
This 253-nucleotide ribosomal RNA is filed under the name uncultured bacterium. Its description in RNAcentral is "partial 16S ribosomal RNA". It matches the Rfam family "Bacterial small subunit ribosomal RNA", at positions 524 to 776 of the family's 1533-position model. The record is from RNAcentral.